RNAcentral lists this ribosomal RNA (465 nucleotides) under uncultured bacterium. RNAcentral describes it as "partial 16S ribosomal RNA". It matches the Rfam family "Bacterial small subunit ribosomal RNA", at positions 28 to 507 of the family's 1533-position model. The record is from RNAcentral.
GACGAACGCUGGCGGCGUGCUUAACACAUGCAAGUCGAACGGAAAGGCCCUGCUUGCAGGGUCCUCGAGUGGCGAACGGGUGAGUAACACGUGGGUGAUCUGCCCUGCACUUCGGGAUAAGCCUGGGAAACUGGGUCUAAUACCGGAUAGGAGCCAUUUUUAGUGUGAUGGUUGGAAAGUUUUUUCGGUGUAGGAUGAGCUCGCGGCCUAUCAGCUUGUUGGUGGGGUAAUGGCCUACCAAGGCGGCGACGGGUAGCCGGCCUGAGAGGGUGGACGGCCACAUUGGGACUGAGAUACGGCCCAGACUCCUACGGGAGGCAGCAGGGGGGAAGAUUGCACAAUGGGCGCAAGCCUGAUGCAGCGACGCCGCGGGGGGGAUGACGGCCUUCGGGUUGGAAACUCCUUUCGCUAGGGACGAAGCUUUUUGUGACGGUACCUAGAUAAGAAGCACCGGCUAACUACGUG